UACAGGGGGGGCCAGCGUUGUUCGGAAUUACUGGGCGUAAAGGGCUCGUAGGCGGCCAACUAAGUCCGACGUGAAAUCCCAAAGCUUAACUUUGGAACUGCGUCGGAUACUGGAUGGCUUGAAUUCAGGAGAGGGAUGCAGAAUUCCAGGUGUAGCGGUGAAAUGCGUAGAUAUCUGGAGGAAUACCGGUGGCGAAGGCGGCAUCCUGGACCGACAUUGACGCUGAGGAGCGAAAGCUAGGGGAGCAAACGGG
This 253-nucleotide ribosomal RNA is filed under the name uncultured bacterium. RNAcentral describes it as "partial 16S ribosomal RNA". It matches the Rfam family "Bacterial small subunit ribosomal RNA", at positions 524 to 776 of the family's 1533-position model. The record is from RNAcentral.